UGCCCCGUGGCUGAGUUGGUUACAGCGUCCGACUGUUACCGAAUGCUUCAGUUCUGACAUCGGAAGGUCGUGAGUUCGAGCCUCACCGGGGCAG
Molecule: non-coding RNA, 94 nt
Organism: Trametes punicea
Lineage: Eukaryota; Fungi; Basidiomycota; Agaricomycetes; Polyporales; Polyporaceae
Source: the annotation of a GenBank genome assembly